Molecule: long non-coding RNA, 288 nt
Filed under: Phoenix dactylifera (date palm)
Lineage: Eukaryota; Viridiplantae; Streptophyta; Magnoliopsida; Arecales; Arecaceae
Description: long non-coding RNA (PDAC_LNC009918)
Source: RNAcentral
AGGGUACCAGACUCAAUAUAUGUAUCAAAGCAGUAUACAAUCCAAGAAAACAUAUUUUUCAAGAAAGGUAAGUAUUCAUUGUAAUUGAUAAAUGAAAUACACUUGAUAAAUAAAAAAAGAUACAGUUGGUAUCAAUUGGUAUCAGUCAGUAUACAAGUGUGCCAAAUAGACAUGAAACAUAGUUCAGUACAAAGUUAUGUUUUGAAAACAUGGGUUUCAGUCUAAGUUCAGGUUAGGUUCAGUCUAGGUUUAGUCUAGGUUUAGGAUUUUGAAGAUGAAGGUCCAGAC